GUCUACGGCCAUGCCACCCUGAACAAACCCAAUCCCGUCUGAUCUCAGAAGCUAAGCAGAGUGGGGCCUGGUUAGUACUUGGAUAGGAACACCAGGUGCUGUAGGGG
Molecule: ribosomal RNA, 107 nt
Filed under: Pteropus alecto (black flying fox)
Lineage: Eukaryota; Metazoa; Chordata; Mammalia; Chiroptera; Pteropodidae
Source: RNAcentral